AGGGUGAAAGAGCUACCUUCUGUUCAUCCCCAAAUAGGAAAAUACACUCGUCCUGACAAACCGUCCCCUCUGACUUUGGAAAGCAUACUGCCUGAAUGUGGAGUAAAGGAAGCCAAGGGUUUGAGUUCCUUCUGGACAAACUACGGAAAGUUUCUACCGAGUCUGGAAUGAGGAAAUAUCCGUCGUGUCCGCCAACAAGAUGAAAAUGAAGAGUGUUUCAUGACAGCUCUUUCUGCUCGCUGAUUUGUCGGGCAAACAACUAACCCAUCCACUCUCACUGCAAUUUGGAAAUCUUUCAAUAUUCAAACCCUUUUCCCCUGACUUGAGCUUUUGCAUCAUAAAUGAUUUGCAAAUGUCAGACUAGGAGGUUUUUUCUUAUUAUUAUAGUUAUUUGUUUCUUGAAAUGAAUUGAAGUGGAUUCUCCACUGGCACUUGUAUAACUAACUGUACAGGGCGAGUCAAAAAGUGAGUGACCGAGUUAGAACUAGCAAGCACUCAGAGAACGCAAACCUCCAUUAAGGCUUAACAAUUCUCUGCCGUAUUGUCAGUACACCUAAAAGAAAUACUGGCAAUGGUGAAGAUUCCUGUGAAAAAAAUCCUGGAUCCAGAUCACUUCCAAAGUCUAAUCGAUCUGUACUUUGCAGCAAGGACCACCUUAAAAAGUUUGUUUUGCAAAUCCAUCCAUAACUUUUUGAGUUUCCUUGUUAACAGACAAACCAACCAACCAACAAAUUAAUCAAACCCGAUGAAAGCAUAACCUCCUUGGCGGUGGUACAUGUAAUAAAUGCAAAACAUACGUUGCUCACUCUGUUUGAUAAAAUAAUAUGAUGUUGUUUACUAGUAGCUGUGAAGAUUUCAGGUGCUAUGCGUACUCUAUUCACAAGUUGUUUGUGUUUUAAUACAAAUAUCCCAAAAUACAGCUGUCCACCACUGGUCAUUUACCGAUACGCAUUGAUGAUUCCCCUUUUUAUGUAGGCCUACAAUAAGCCAUGGAGGUUUUCCUACUCUACAUGAAUGAAUGAAAACUUGUAAAGGAAAGAAACAAAAAUCACCAUCAUCGUUUCAGAAAAAGACUUGAUGUGUUCUUUAUAUACAAAACACAAAAUCUGACAGUGAAAUAAUGUCUGAGUUUUGACACAAAUUAUUACAAUCUCAUUUGUAUUUGAAUGCCCAAAUGUAAUCUCUGGUUCUAACUCAGCUGAAUAGCUUCAGAAUGGCAUUCCAUGGACAGGUAUAAAAAUGGGUUAUUUUAGUAAAACAUGCGUAACUGCUGAUUGCAUGGAUCUAUGCCAGUAAUUCUCUCUUUUUUAGAUAAGGGGAAGAACAUGCUCUUUUAAAACAUGCUUUAUUGUUUGUUUUUUUGUCAAACUUAAUCGUUGUAAGGAAAAGAAAUCAUCAGUGAAGGUCACUUUAUGUUUGGCACACCCAGUGGAGAAAGCUGAAGAGUGAAAUGUUCUAUUUUAGAGGCGGAAGUAAAACCCCAUUAAUUGUUUUGUGGAAAUCAGUGGACCAGGUCGAGACGGAAAGCCUCAAUUCACAAGUGGGCCUUGGUGGGAUUUGAACCUAGGCCAUCCAGUUGAAAGGUUAGGAAAGUUGCACUGCAUUAACCUGCACUCCUGGCAUUUAGCUUAGAAGGUUUUUUUUAUUAGCUUUUGUUUUAAACUUGGCAUUUGCCAUAUGAAUUUCAUAUACAUGUAGUUACUUUCAUUGAUUUUGUUAAAAGUUGAACUAAGAAAUUGACUGUGAUGGGUUUGAACCUGUGACCUCCGGGUUACUGUUCCAGUGCUCUACCAGAUGAGCUAUCCAUCGCUAUGUUAGCAGUUCCCCUUUUCAUCAGUGUCUUUGUUCAAGCAUUAGUGGAACACCGGAACAGCAAUCUAAAGGUUACAGGUUCAAACCUAUAGUCUGAGUAUCACCCGUUAUCCUCAGAGCCAAGUCUCUUGUAUAAAAGUCUAAUUCAUCAAAGUAUGCAGAUUUAUGCAAUCACGUGGCUCAGCCAAUCGGAGUCGACUUUACUAAAUCAUGACGUCAUUUCAUUCCCAAAUCAGACUAAAUGGUGUGAUUGGUCAAUUCAAAUGCAGUGUUUUGUAAUACAACAAUUUGUAAUACAACAGCCCGGCGCCUAUCGCGUAACAUGAUACAGAGCGCAUGACCACAGCCUUUGUUGCAGUGUCCAGGGUAUUUUUUUAUUCAUGUCUAUGACGCAACAACGUUGAAUGACCAAACAUCCGAUAUAGAAAGCGCCCGCUGAUUGGUCAAAAUCGGAGGUCAAUGCCAUGGUCUAUGUAGUUCAAACCCCCCUCCAGUCAAUUUCUUUCUUCAACUUUAAACAAUUAUUAUAACGCACCUAGUAGUUCUCUUUAUGGUUUAAUUGAAUCCUUCUUAUUUAUGGAAAAUACAUAUUAUCCAAGGAUAAAUCCACUACAGUAAAAUGGAUAAGAAAAAAUUUGAGGGGGAAAAGACAAAAAGGAUCACUGAAGGGUGAAGUUAAGGUUUUUGUUGAAUCGGAUGAAUUUGGAAGAGUAUAAACAUAUGAAUCUGAUUAAUUUAAAAAGUAUAAAAGUGUUUUAGUCAGACGAGUUUUAACACUCUCAUCGUAAUUAAAGCUGAGUGGAAUGGAACAUUCCAUAGGUCACUGAAUGAAAUUAUUCUUUCCAUUGCCAGAAUGUGAAACAUUUUUGUUUUAUACAAAUGCCUCAAUAAAUCAUUGUCAUCUGAUUGGUUACUUGCAAACUGGUACUAUAUGAAUGUACAGCAUCAGAGCCAUCAGAGCUGUGUUUAUAGCGCAACCAGUAGUGUGACCUUUGACCUUGCAAUGGAAGUUCUAUUUAGUGGAACUUCUAUUUUGGAGUGUGACUGCGCAAUUCGUUGGAACGAAUAAUUCAAUGACGUGAUCAACGACCCAUCAAUAAGAUUAUGGGGAUUUAUUCGUGCAGUAUGAAAUAUCCUACUUGAUUGCAAGUAACUAAAUGUGAUGAUUUAAGCAUCCUGUGAAAUCGCAGCUCCUGGUAUGCUGUCAUCUUCAAGAAAAGAUAACUAGCUUCCUUGUUGACGGUGGAACUCUUUUAGUUUGACAAACACUCCCCUCUAACAUUGGAAAGCAUACUUCUGAAUGUGGAGUAAAGGAAGCCAAGGGUUUGAGUUCCUUCUGGACAAACUACGGAAAGUUUCUACCGAGUCUGGAAUGAGGAAAUAUCCGUCAUGUCUGCCAACAAGAUGAAAAUGAAGAGUGUUUCAUGACAGCACUUUCUACUCCCUGAUUUGUCGGGCACACAACUGACCCAUCCACACUCACUGCAAUUUGGAAAUCUUUCAAUAUUCAAACCCUUUUCCCCUGACUUGAGCUUUUGCAUCAUAAAUGAUUUGCAAAUGUCAGACUAGGAGGUUUUUUCUUAUUAUUAUAGUUAUUUGUUUCUUGAAAUGAAUUGAAGUGGAUUCUCCACUGGCACUUGUGUAACUAACUGUACAGGGUGAGUCAAAAAGUGAGAGACCAAGUUAGAACUAGCAAGCACGCAGAGAACGCAAACCUCCAUUAAGGCUUAACAAUUCUCUGCCGUAUUGUCAGUACACCUAAAAGAAAUACUGGCAAUAAUGGUGAAGAUUCCUGUGAAAAAAAAUCCUGGAUCGAGAUCACUUCCAAAGUCUAAUCGAUCUGUACUUUGCAGCAAGGACCACCUUAAAAAGUUUGUUUUGCAAAUCCAUCCAUAACUUUUUGAGUUUCCUUGUUAACAGACAAACCAACCAACCAACAAAUUAAUCAAACCCGAUGAAAGCAUAACCUCCUUGUUGGUGGUAUAUGUAAUAAAUGCAAAACGUAUGUUGCUCGCUCUAUUUGAUAAAUAUAACAGGAUGUUGUUUACUGGUAGCUGUGAAGAUUUCAAGUGCUAUGGGUACUCUAUUCACAAGUUAUUUCUGUUUUAAUACAUAUAUACCAAAAUGCAGCUGUCCACUACUUAUCAUUAACGAUACGCAUUGAUGAUUCCCCUUUUUAUGUAGGCCUACAAUAAGCCAUGGAGGUUUUCCUACUCUACAUGAAUGAAUGAAAACUUGUAAAGGAAAGAAACAAAAAUCACCAUCAUCGUUUCAGAAAAAGACUUGAUGUGUUCUUUAUAUACAAAACACAAAAUCUGAGAGUGAAAUAAUGUCUGAGUUUUGACACAAAUUAUUACAAUCUCAUUUGUAUUUGAACGCCCAAAUGUAAUCUCUGGUUCUAACUCAGCUGAAUAGCUUCAGAAUGGCAUUCCAUGGACAGGUAUAAAAAUGGGUUAUUUUAGUAAAACAUGCGUAACUGCUGAUUGCAUGGAUCUAUGCCAGUAAUUCUCUCUUUUUUAGAUAAGGGGAAGAACAUGCUCUUUUAAAACAUGCUUUAUUGGGUUUUUUUGUGUCAAACUUAAUCGUUGUAAGGAAAAAAAUCAUCAGUGAAGGUCACUUUAUGUUUGGCACACCCAGUGGAGAAAGCUGAAGAGUGAAAUGUUCUAUUUAAGAGGCGGAAGUAAAACCCCAUUAAUUGUUUUGUGGAAAUCAGUGGAUCAGAUCGAGACGGAAAGCCUCAAUUCACAAGUGGGCCUUGGUGGGAUUUGAACCUAGGCCAUCCAGUUGAAAGGUUAGAAAAGUUGCACUGCAUUAACCUGCACUCCUGGCAUUUAGCUUAGAAGUUUUUUUAGUAGCUUUUGUUUUAAACUUGGCAUUUGCCAUAUGAAUUUCAUAAACAUGUAGUUACUUUCAUUGAUUUCGUUAAAAGUUGAACUAAGAAAUUGACUGUGAUGGAUUUGAACCUGCGACAUCCGGGUUACUGUCCAGUGCUCUACCAGAUGAGCUAUCCAUCCCUAUGUUAGCAGUUCCCCUUUUCAUCAGUGUCUUUGUUCAAGCAUUAGUGGAACACCGGAACAGCAAUCUAAAGGUUACAGGUUCAAACCUAUAGUCUGAGUAUCACCCGUUAUCCUCAGAGUCAAGUCUCUUGUAUAAAAGUCUAAUUCAUCAAAGUAUGCAGAUUUAUGCAAUCACGUGGCUCAGCCAAUCGGAGUCGACUUUACUAAAUCAUGACGUCAUUUCAUUCCCAAAUCAGACUAAAUGGUGUGAUUGGUCAAUUCAAAUGCAGUGUUUUGUAAUACAACAAUUUGUAAUACAACAGCCCGGCGCCUAUCUCGUAACAUGAUACAGAGCGCAUGACCACAGCCUUUGUUGCAGUGUCCAGGGUAUUUUUUUAUUCAUGUCUAUGACGCAACAACGUUGAAUGACCAAACAUCCGAUAUAGAAAGCGCCCGCUGAUUGGUCAAAAUCGGAGGUCAAUGCCAUGGUCUAUGUAGUUCAAACCCCCCGCUCCAGUCAAUUUCUUUCUUCAACUUUAAACAAUUAUUAUAACGCACCUAGUAGUUAUCUUUAUGGUUUAAUUGAAUCAUUCUUAUUUAUGGAAGUUACAUAUUACCCAAGGAUAAAUCCACUACAGUAAAAUGGAUAAGAAAAAAUUUGAGGGGGGAAAGGCAAAAAGGAUCACUGAAGGGUGAAGUUAAGGUUUUUGUUGAAUCGGAUGAAUUUGGAAGAGUAUAAACAUAUGAAUCUGAUUAAUUUAAAAAAGUAUAAAAGUGUUUUAGUCAGACCAGUUUUAACACUCUCAUCGUAAUUAAAGCUGAGUGGAAUGGAACAUUCCAUAGGUCACUGAAUGAAA
Molecule: long non-coding RNA, 5665 nt
Organism: Patiria miniata (bat star)
Lineage: Eukaryota; Metazoa; Echinodermata; Asteroidea; Valvatida; Asterinidae
Exons: 3
Source: RefSeq, a predicted model, not a curated record